UGUCAAUGGCUGACAUUGUCAAGAUGGGUAGGCCACAGGCCAAGGCAUCCGUGCCUAAAUCUUCUGUCCACAGUGGGAAUCAUCAGAAUGCUGUUUCAACUCCAGCAGCCUCGCAUCACAACUUGAAUGUUACUGAAGCGACUAAUGAAUGGCCUUCUAUUGAACCCAAUGUUCAACAGAGUGAUGAAUGGCCUUCUAUUGACCCCAAUGUUCAACAGAGUGAUGAAUGGCCUUCUGUUGAGCACCCACCAAUAGUUG
Molecule: long non-coding RNA, 258 nt
Filed under: Medicago truncatula (barrel medic)
Lineage: Eukaryota; Viridiplantae; Streptophyta; Magnoliopsida; Fabales; Fabaceae
Description: long non-coding RNA (MTRU_LNC006556)
Source: RNAcentral